CCCAAGAGAUCGGGAUAACACCUGGAAACAGAUGCUAAUACCGGAUAACAACAGAUGAUGCCUAUCAACUGUUUAAAAGAUGGUUCUGCUAUCACUCUUGGAUGGACCUGCGGUGCAUUAGCUAGUUGGUAGGGUAACGGCCUACCAAGGCGAUGAUGCAUAGCCGAGUUGAGAGACUGAUCGGCCACAUUGGGACUGAGACACGGCCCAAACUCCUACGGGAGGCAGCAGUU
This 233-nucleotide ribosomal RNA is filed under the name uncultured Lactobacillus sp. Its description in RNAcentral is "partial 16S ribosomal RNA". It matches the Rfam family "Bacterial small subunit ribosomal RNA", at positions 129 to 355 of the family's 1533-position model. The record is from RNAcentral. Lineage: Bacteria; Bacillati; Bacillota; Bacilli; Lactobacillales; Lactobacillaceae.